GUAUGAGCAAAUCUGAUCGGUAAGGCAAUUCUAAUCAGACUGAAGAAACUUGGAUUCUGUUCCUGGUUAAAAAUGAAGCUCCGGUCGGAGCUACCGGAGUUGAACUCCGUUCCGAUGCAAAGCCUCGGAACAGAGCCUAGCCUUGCGGUGGAGCUUGCUGGCGGCGCGUCGGAGCUUCUUUAACUCGUCAACGACGUCGUCGGCGCUGGAAAGUUCGUCAGCGGCAGCGGAGCCUUUAGAAUCGCGCUAUUGACGCAUUUGUUCGGGGGAGAUUACGAACUUCAGAGGACUCGAAUUUCCACCCUUGGAUGCUUCCACUUCUUCUUCACGCUCCACAGAGCAGAGCCGUGGAUUUCCGAUCUUGUCACCGCUCUUCAGGCCUCGAAGCGAC
RNAcentral lists this long non-coding RNA (391 nucleotides) under Rosa chinensis. RNAcentral's name for it is "sRNA RchiOBHm_Chr2g0119781". The record is from RNAcentral. Lineage: Eukaryota; Viridiplantae; Streptophyta; Magnoliopsida; Rosales; Rosaceae.